GAGGGGUUGCAGUGGGGAGGGGUGUGUGAGGUGUGUGCCCAUCCUGUCAGAGGUGGAAGGGCACUUUUGUUUUUAUUUGCUGUUGUCAAAAGUGGUUUCUCUUCUUUAGCUAACAUUGAUUGUGUCUUGCUCCAGUGGGAGAGAAUACAAAAACAACCCCCUCCUUCCUCCAAUAAGGCGCCAGGGAAAGAGACAGAAAGAGGCACACUUUUUAGAUGUCACUUAAAAAAUUUCAGUUGAAGAGCUAUUUACCUAUUUCCCCAAGAAAAGCUCCACUGCAUUUGUUUCUGAGUGGGAAAAUGUCGGGAUUGGGAUUGUAUUGAAACUGCUUACCCAUUUGUAGACCUGAGUGUUUUCCCCUUUUUGGUUCUGUAUGUGAUUUGGAUAUGGACUUAAGUGUUGGAACAGACUUGUUUGGUUUUUGCUCUCUGGGUAAAUUUUUCUUUUUUCGUUUUGUCUGACCUGUAUAGAAAUUUUCAAAAUUUUAGUUGAUAGAGGCCAUACGUUAGGUUUUCACUUGUAUUACUGCUUUUUUUGUUAAAUAUUUGAUUGCUAUAUCACCGUAUAAAGUUCAAAGCUUAUACUGCUUAAAGUUUAAAUACCACUGGUAUUGUCUCUACCCACAUACGUUCCUAAUAUUUUCCAUAAGAUAAGAAUGUUAGCUAUUUCAUAAUUAAUCUGGGUAUUUUUCUAAUCUUUGUAACUUGCCUGAACAAGUAAUCCCCAUUGAAAACUUUAUGUUGUUCAGGCUUCAUGGAAGGCCAAACCUCUCCAUCAAUAGUUUGCUGGAUUGGUACCACUUUCAGUUUUAACUGAAUUAUUUAUUUACUGUUGUAAAUUGAGAGGAGUUUUUCAUCUCUUGGGGUACUGAACCAAAUUGCUCACUAUACAUGAAGGGGGGCAUAUUUCUAAAAUGUGUUUUCCUGACACAAAAAAAUAAUGAAGUACUUGGUAUAUUCAUGGUAAUUAUAUAUAAAUUGAAAGAUGAAUCCAGGUUUAGGCUUAUAGAGUAACAAUCUUGAUAAAAAUCACUAUUCUUUCUUUUUACAUGACAUGUUCUUAGUGAAAUGGCUUUCAAAUUCAGUGCUGCAUUUUAUUUCACAAAAGCUAGAAAGUGUAUUUCUGAGUAGGCCUUUCAUUAGGUCUUACAUGAGCGAGUAGUAUUUUGUUUCGUACAUACAUUUCUUUAUGCUUUCCUUGAAGAUGGAUGCAACACAUAUACAUGCACAUUCUCUCUCUCUCUCUCUCUCUUUCUGUGUGUGUAUCUCACACCCUUUUUUGUUACUACACUGGUAUCUCUGAUCCCAUAAUUUAUGUCAUCAAAAAAUAUUUUUCUGUAAAGCAGCAAUUUUGUGAUCAGACUGGCAAUAUGAAAACAGCAAUUUGAUCAACUAGAAAGGAUUGAAGAAAAAUCUAGAAGGAUGUUUGACAUAAAUAUGAUAAAGACAUGAUAAUACUUUUAAUUUUUUAUUAUCUUGAAAAUAAAGCCAAAACAUUAUACACUUAUAUUUUAAUGGUAGAAAAGCAUUGCAUAUGUAGAAAUUUGUCCUGUAAAAUUUUAAUUAUCAACUCUGCAAAAGCAGACAUUUGCACACAGGGAAAAAAAAGCUGUGUAGCAGUAAACAAUAUGAUCUUAUUUCUCUCCUUUCUGUUACAAAUUUGAAUAGUUCCUUGCAUUUCUCUGAGGUAUAAAUGGUGCACUUAAGCAGAAAUAUGUGCCAAGUUCAAGUUUUUCUUCCAAUAUCAAUACUAUUUCAGGUCUACCUACAUCUUCUUCCCUUAAUACUUCAGCAACCUUAAGAGAUAGAAAGUAGAACUUAGUGAAGAAAUCAAUUUUAAGGAAAGCAAAUUGUGUGAAUAAUUGGGGUGGUGGUUGCCCAACUGAGUGAAAAUAUACACUCUUGAGCAUAAUACCUUUACUUACUUUCUGUUUUCCUUUGAAAACAUUUCUUAUCCUACCACCCUCAGGGUUCCCUUAUGUGGUUUGAAGAUUCCAGACUUCCUGUAGGUUGAGUAAUUAUUUACAUUUAGAAAACCUUUCAUUUUUAUUAUGCCUUAUUUUUUAAAUAUACAGAGAUAUUUUAGAAUUGUAAUUUUUAGCAAGGUGAUAUCAUGAAGGUCACUUUAUCCAACUCUUCAUUUUCCAUAUUGCUGAAGUUCAAGAGCUUGAGGAACUUGCCCAGGGUUCCAAGGCCUAAAUGUGGGUGGAACAUGGACCAGAGAACUCAGGUCUCUUGACAUUCACUCUGCUACACUAUAUCACUUUCCUUUAUUAAGGAUUUUAUAUGGAGGCACAUUCUUGUAAGAAUAUUAAGACAAUUAUCAACUUUCCAGUUUUCUAUGGAUAUGAAGAUUUACUCCUAGUCAUCAGUGGGACCCAAUGAAGUCAGCCAGAAAGCCUAUGUCCAACUUAUGUAUCUUUGCAAACUUGUCUGGAUUUUGAAUGUAUAUAUGCAAAACAUACUGUACUUAGCUAUUAAUCAUUAUGCAUCGUUUGAAUAUCUACUGUCUCUCAGGCACUGUACUAGGCACCUGACAAAUAAGGGUGAUUCCUACAAUUAAUGUGAAGAGAUAGCAUAAUUGUAUUCCAGAAGUGUAUUCAUCGUAUUUUUAUUUUGAUGUUUCUACUUAAAUGAAUUUUAUAUAACUAAACAGAUACUGUUAGGUAGAAAAGUGCAUGUUUAAAAAAAGGAUUGCUGUAUUUUA
Phyllostomus discolor (pale spear-nosed bat) is the source of this 2706-nucleotide long non-coding RNA. RefSeq lists it as uncharacterized. The record is from RefSeq and is a predicted model, not a curated record. The transcript has 2 exons. NCBI's taxonomy places the organism in Eukaryota, Metazoa, Chordata, Mammalia, Chiroptera, Phyllostomidae.